UGAGGAAUAUUGGUCAAUGGGCGGGAGCCUGAACCAGCCAAGUCGCGUGAAGGAAGAAGGAUCUAUGGUUCGUAAACUUCUUUUGCAGGGGAAUAAAGUGCAGGACGUGUCCUGUUUUGUAUGUACCCUGAGAAUAAGGAUCGGCUAACUCCGUGCCAGCAGCCGCGGUAAUACGGAGGAUCCGAGCGUUAUCCGGAUUUAUUGGGUUUAAAGGGUGCGUAGGUGGUUUGAUAAGUCAGCGGUGAAAGUUUGCAGCUUAACUGUAAAAAUGCCGUUGAAACUGUCGGACUUGAGUGUAAAUGAGGUAGGCGGAAUGCGUGGUGUAGCGGUGAAAUGCAUAGAUAUCACGCAGAACUCCGAUUGCGAAGGCAGCUUACUAAGCUACAACUGACACUGAAGCACGAAAGCGUGGGGA
RNAcentral lists this ribosomal RNA (415 nucleotides) under uncultured bacterium. RNAcentral's name for it is "bacterial SSU rRNA". It matches the Rfam family "Bacterial small subunit ribosomal RNA", at positions 355 to 767 of the family's 1533-position model. The record is from RNAcentral.